AGAGUGAACGCUGGCGGCAGGCCUAACACAUGCAAGUCGAACGGCAGCACAGGGGAGCUUGCUCCCUGGGUGGCGAGUGGCGGACGGGUGAGGAAUACAUCGGAAUCUACCCAGUCGUGGGGGAUAACCUCGGGAAACCGGGACUAAUACCGCAUACGACCCACGGGUGAAAGCGGAGGACCGCAAGGCUUCGCGCGAUUGGAUGAGCCGAUGUCGGAUUAGCUUGUUGGCGGGGUAAUGGCCCACCAAGGCGACG
This 256-nucleotide ribosomal RNA is filed under the name uncultured soil bacterium. Its description in RNAcentral is "partial 16S ribosomal RNA". It matches the Rfam family "Bacterial small subunit ribosomal RNA", at positions 26 to 278 of the family's 1533-position model. The record is from RNAcentral.